CUACGAAGGAAAGUCAAGCAAGAAAUUUCGGAGAAGCAGUCUUUUUAAAAGGAAUCGAAGAAAUGAGAAUGGAUUGUGUCGUUUUUCCAGAUAUUUACAGAAUUACUUCUGUUGCACACAGAACGUGAGUUAUAUUUUAUUGAAAAUGUUUCGCAAUUAUGUAUAACUUUAUUGCGUUGUCACUCUAUCUACGCUUUCCCUUUUUAAAGUUCCAUAUCAAAAUACUUAUUUCUGUGACUACAACACCGAUCCUUUAAGAUAUAGUUUUUAAAUAAUAAGCAACAAAUUCAUCUCAAUGCAUAAAAUAUAAUGUACUGUGUAACAACUCUAGAUUAUAAUGAAAUGAAUAGGUAACACUAGGCCACCGAAAGCUAAACUCUUAAUUCAGUCUAGGUGGCGGAAAGUCUAGAGUGCUAGCCACAAUGCAGACGGUGUUGUCACAAUAUCCCAGUAGCAUGUGUUCCCGACGAAGAUAGAACAAACAUUUGCUUUAGUAAAUUUGCAGAUUUAAUAGUGUUGUACUAAUAUUUAGAUUAGGACAUAUUUACAACAUAAAGCAAGUAAGUUCAUUAGAUUAACUGAUGUCAAGAAUUGUUUUUUUUUCUCCAGAAUUGACGUAUUCGCUACAAUUAGCGAAACCCUUGAGGUUAACUUAAAUUCGGAAACUGCAGAUUUCCCCGAUCAACAAAUACACAGCAUCACGAAGAAACUGAUGGCAUACAGACAAAAUAUGGGUAAGACUACAUGAAGAUUAAAAUUAAAAAAUCUAUACCAGUAGA
Molecule: long non-coding RNA, 779 nt
Filed under: Mytilus galloprovincialis (Mediterranean mussel)
Lineage: Eukaryota; Metazoa; Mollusca; Bivalvia; Mytilida; Mytilidae
Source: RNAcentral